UACGUAGGGGGCAAGCGUUGUCCGGAUUUAUUGGGCGUAAAGAGCGUGUAGGCGGCCAGGGAGGUCCGUUGUGAAAACUCGAGGCUCAACCUCGAGACGCCGAUGGAAACCCCCUGGCUAGAGUCCGGAAGAGGAGAAUGGAAUUCCUGGUGUGGCGGUGAAAUGCGCAGAUAUCAGGAAGAACACCCGUGGCUAAGGCGGUUCUCUAGUACGGUACUGACGCUGAGACGCGAAAGCGUGGGGAGCGAACAGG
Molecule: ribosomal RNA, 253 nt
Filed under: uncultured bacterium
Lineage: Bacteria
Description: partial 16S ribosomal RNA
Rfam family: Bacterial small subunit ribosomal RNA
Source: RNAcentral